AUGCUCACUUUGGCAGCACAUAUACUAAAAUUAGAACAAUACAGAGAAAUUAGCAAAGCCCCUGUGCCAGGAUGGCUCGCAAAUUUGUGAAGACUUCCAUAUUUUA
RNAcentral lists this small nuclear RNA (106 nucleotides) under Myotis davidii. The record is from RNAcentral. Lineage: Eukaryota; Metazoa; Chordata; Mammalia; Chiroptera; Vespertilionidae.